This 267-nucleotide ribosomal RNA is filed under the name Triticum aestivum (bread wheat). RNAcentral's name for it is "partial small subunit ribosomal RNA". The record is from RNAcentral. Lineage: Eukaryota; Viridiplantae; Streptophyta; Magnoliopsida; Poales; Poaceae.
AUGCUUGUUGAGACAAACAAGCAUGAACAAUAUCAUAUUGUUUACAAGCUUCUUAAGUUGGUAUUGAUUCUGCCAGUAGCUACUGCUAGUGUUGAAAGGGUGUUCUCUUCAAUGAGCCAUGUGAAGAAUAAGCUAAGGAACAAAAUGGGUGAUGAAUAUUUGAACAAUUGUUUGGUUACAUUUGUUGAUAGAGAAUUUUUCAAUCAAGUGAAGGAUGAAGAUGUCAUCAAUCUCUUCCAAAAAAGCAACCGCAAAGUUAUAUUGUAA